CAAAAUGCGAUACUUGGUGUGAAUUGCAGAAUCCCGUGAACCAUCGAGUUUUUGAACGCAAGUUGCGCCCGAAGCCAUUCGGUUGAGGGCACGUCUGCCUGGGCGUCACGC
RNAcentral lists this ribosomal RNA (111 nucleotides) under Roebuckiella ciliocarpa. RNAcentral's name for it is "5.8S ribosomal RNA". It matches the Rfam family "5.8S ribosomal RNA", at positions 49 to 154 of the family's 154-position model. From Rfam's summary of the family: 5.8S ribosomal RNA (5.8S rRNA) is a component of the large subunit of the eukaryotic ribosome. The record is from RNAcentral. Lineage: Eukaryota; Viridiplantae; Streptophyta; Magnoliopsida; Asterales; Asteraceae. RNAcentral also lists the same sequence under 2 other names.